Molecule: ribosomal RNA, 416 nt
Filed under: Klebsiella pneumoniae
Lineage: Bacteria; Pseudomonadati; Pseudomonadota; Gammaproteobacteria; Enterobacterales; Enterobacteriaceae
Description: partial 23S ribosomal RNA
Rfam family: Bacterial large subunit ribosomal RNA
Source: RNAcentral
GGGGGACCAUCCUCCAAGGCUAAAUACUCCUGACUGACCGAUAGUGAACCAGUACCGUGAGGGAAAGGCGAAAAGAACCCCGGCGAGGGGAGUGAAAAAGAACCUGAAACCGUGUACGUACAAGCAGUGGGAGCACCUUCGGGUGUGACUGCGUACCUUUUGUAUAAUGGGUCAGCGACUUAUAUUCUGUAGCAAGGUUAACCGUAUAGGGGAGCCGCAGGGAAACCGAGUCUUAACUGGGCGUUAAGUUGCAGGGUAUAGACCCGAAACCCGGUGAUCUAGCCAUGGGCAGGUUGAAGGUUGGGUAACACUAACUGGAGGACCGAACCGACUAAUGUUGAAAAAUUAGCGGAUGACUUGUGGCUGGGGGUGAAAGGCCAAUCAAACCGGGAGAUAGCUGGUUCUCCCCGAAAGCU